UGAUUUUUCCAAAUAGAAGUGUCAUGUCAUUAUUUAUUUACAAACAACCAAAAUGUUAGGGGAUGAAAGGUAGGAAAAAGUGUGAGGGAAGGGAAGGGCAGCUACUCAGGUGUGAGGGAAUACACCUAUGUUUCAACAUUCUUUAUCUAAACUAUGUGAAGUGUUAAGAUGGAUACACACUGACAAUAUCAGAGAGUAUCACUCUCGAAACGCAUUGGCCCAGAGGAGACAUUACAUCUGCAAGGUAUGACCUUCAUAUAUUUUUAUUAACAUCUAGCCCUCAUAGGAACCUGACCUACCCAGCUAUUUGUUACAAUUCGAGUCAGCACCUUGUCUCUGAGUGUCUCUGUGACCGCCACUAGCCAGUACUAAAAAAACAAGUAUUUGAAAAUUGUUUAAAAAAAAAAGUCUAUAACAUCCUAUUUUUAUUUUUUCUCAUUAUAUCCUUAUACUUAACUAAGAAACCUUGAUGGGAGUGCUGUCAUCUUACUUAUCGUGAGUACCGGUACGCCUAAUCUUUGAAUGUACAAAAAGAAACCUUGAUAUAUGCACCUGACACCUCUUUUAUGUAAGUGAGGUAUGAACCUCAUCCAUCCUACUGCAUACUAACAUCCAGAAUUACCAAUACUCUACUGUGUAAAAGAUACCCAGAUAUAUGUCCUUAAAAGUACUCUCAUGUAAGUGAGGUAUGACUUUCUACACUUGUGCACCUAUAAUGUUUCUGUGUAAUUAUUCCCACAUCUCUAAUUUGAAGACAAUGCCCUUCAUCUCAUGCAAAAGAAAAUGAGGCAAUACUACACAUUGUCCUAUCAACCUUGUUUUUUCACAAGUAUCCAUGGGCCAACUACAAUGACGAUUAAGACUUUAGAAUCCAUUGACUAAGGAGGAUCAGUAUUAUUACAUAUUAUACUUUCAACUCUGAGGGGAUAUUCAUUUAUCAUCGAUGCGUCAUGCGUUUUCAGGUGUUAAGUCUUAUUGGCGUGAUCGGGCGAAAAUAACCAGUUUCACUUUUGUUUAAUCGCUGCUAUCCAAUUAUCGUCGAGUUGACGUCUACUUCAUCCGUUAAUCCACCAAUCGGGCGGUCAGUGGAAAGAGGCUUAUUGCUGGUAUAGAAGAUUGAUUUGUCAAGGUGUGUCUCACCCACCACAGUCAGUAGUGUGAGUUUAUGUGGUCUGUGUGGUGGGAGCUGCAGGCACGCUGUUUCCUGUGAUUUACAGGUGUCCUGUCGCAGAGAAGUCUGAAGCAUCAUUUGAAGUUUGCUAAGUUUUUGGUAAGUAAUUAUGUACCCCUUACAUCAAACUUUCUUCAACCCUCGCCCCAUGCUGCACCCUUCCCCCUAGAUACAUGGGUCUCACUGGGGGUUUUCUAUCCUCUACUCCUCUGCCAUGUGAUCACAUGGCAUCCUUUCUCCCAUGCAGGGUUUUCUGAUCUGCUCCUUCAUGCCUUGUGUACACACAUGCCUUAUACAUCUGUUCUUUACUCCAGGUCUGUGUGGUGGGAGCUGCAAGCACACUGUUUGCACUGAAUUGCAGAUGUUCUAAUUGGUUUGCCAAGCAGUGUGUUUUCGAUAUGUAUCAUGAAAAAAGACAAGUGCCCAGCCAAUCCCCACAAUCCUCUGAUCCCAAUCCAGACACGGAUGAUGAAUGGCAUCCAGACCCAAGGCAGAGAAAAUCCACCAUGGAGGCAAAAGAGACACAGAGGACAGAGGAAAGUAACGCGGAACAAGAUUCAUCAGAAGAAGACAGGGUCGGACUGCCUCACAGGGGUACAGGGGAAACCACCGGUGGGCCCCACUGCCUGGGGGCUCCAUCCCCUCCUCUAGGGAUCAUAUUUUACACUUGAAUUACUCAUUAUGCAUAUGUUACAUUAUACUGCACAGUGCUAUGGUGUACUUUCUACGGUGUUAUUAAUCUGGUAAAUUAUCAUGCAUGCACUAGCGGUAUUUGCUAUAUAUAUGUAUCAAGGGGCCCCGAACAUGCACUACUAGUUAGCCAAGUGUCGAAGUAAAAAUUAUUACAUAGAGAGAACAUACAGACUCCACACAUUAUGAGUCGCUAUGCUUGCAAAUACGCGCAGUGAGCACAGCAAUAUAUGGUAACAUAUGCAUUUACACAGACAUGCCACAAAGAUUCAACACAUAUUUCAUACAGCACAUAAUUAUAACAUAUCAAGCGCCAGACAUCAUAAUGUUUUAAAAUUAUAUAAUGGAGUAACGUCAUGUGUGUGUAUUAUUGGAACGAAGCAAGAUGGACAUGUCGUGUUUGGUAUUUAAGCAACCAUAUUAAUGUGUAUAUCAAUUUGAUGCCUGUUAUUAAGUUGCAACACGUAGAUAUGAUUAAAUGUAUGAAAGCUAAAAUCACUCUUAUUAGAACAAUGGAUUUCCUGGAAGACAGCAUGAUUGUAGCCUGGAGCCAGUGGCUAUCUCCUGUAAUUACACCAUCAAGGCUGGACAUUGCUUGCAUAUGAACUGACCAAUGACUCAUCAUGAAUGAGAAAGUUCCCUCCCCUAGACUAGUUACAAGAGAUCUGUAUACGCCCCCAAGAGACUCGGUGUAUUGCUGAAGAGACACACAGAAGCGUGCUUUUUCCCCUGGGUCCUGAACAAGAUGGGUUUCUGCCAAUAAUCUGCUCAUUUGAGCAUGAAGGGGGAGCGUAGUGAGCAUUGAGGGAGAUGGUAAUUGUAUCGCUGGCCAGUAACUGUAUGGAUUCCUGCUUCCUGUGUAAAUUGUAACCA
This is a long non-coding RNA of Pseudophryne corroboree (corroboree frog), 2734 nucleotides long. RefSeq lists it as uncharacterized. The transcript is spliced from 3 exons. The record is from RefSeq and is a predicted model, not a curated record. Lineage: Eukaryota; Metazoa; Chordata; Amphibia; Anura; Myobatrachidae.